AUUGAACGCUGGCGGCAGGCCUAACACAUGCAAGUCGAGCGGAUGAAGGGAGCUUGCUCCUGGAUUCAGCGGCGGACGGGUGAGUAAUGCCUAGGAAUCUGCCUGGUAGUGGGGGAUAACGUCCGGAAACGGGCGCUAAAACCGCAUACGUCCUGAGGGAGAAAGUGGGGGAUCUUCGGACCUCACGCUAUCAGAUGAGCCUAGGUCGGAUUAGCUAGUUGGUGGGGUAAAGGCCUACCAAGGCGACGAUCCGUAACUGGUCUGAGAGGAUGAUCAGUCACACUGGAACUGAGACACGGUCCAGACUCCUACGGGAGGCAGCAGUGGGGAAUAUUGGACAAUGGGCGAAAGCCUGAUCCAGCCAUGCCGCGUGUGUGAAGAAGGUCUUCGGAUUGUAAAGCACUUUAAGUUGGGAGGAAGGGCAGUAAGUUAAUACCUUGCUGUUUUGACGUUACCAACAGAAUAAGCACCGGCUAACUUCGUG
Molecule: ribosomal RNA, 484 nt
Filed under: uncultured bacterium
Lineage: Bacteria
Description: partial 16S ribosomal RNA
Rfam family: Bacterial small subunit ribosomal RNA
Source: RNAcentral